GUGCUCACUUUGGCAGCACAUAUACUAAAGUUGGAAUGAUGCAGAGAAGAUUAGCAUGGCCCCUACACAAGGAUGGCAUGCAAAUUCAUGAGGCAUUCCAUAUUUUA
Molecule: small nuclear RNA, 107 nt
Filed under: Jaculus jaculus (lesser Egyptian jerboa)
Lineage: Eukaryota; Metazoa; Chordata; Mammalia; Rodentia; Dipodidae
Source: RNAcentral